UUACAUUUAACGUUACUAUGCUCCUGAGGCUGAAUGUAACAGGGUUUUCCUGCGUUAUGAUUUUUUUCCCAGCCGAUAAGCAAGUGAUAUUGCAAGCGAGGUGCCGGAACAAAUCGUAUGAUGUUUAUCUAGGCUAACGCUCAACACUUUAAAAGCUAACGUUACGUUAACUUUCAGAGGUGGAGGUCUUGAGUUACGUUACUACACUCUAAAUAAAGAAAAUUAAGUUACAUGACAUUGACUUCGAGUCUUGAGAACGAAUAUUCUAAAGUCUCGAACCGCAUGCCUUGAUAAUGACUUGUUUUUUGGGGGUUUAAACAUUUUACCUGUUUUUAGUUUAUAAUUUUCCAGCUGGGCUGGUUGUGAUAAAAGGCAGUGUAACAGGACGAAAAGGCAGGGAGAUAUUCAGUAUUUUUCUGCAAAGAAAAAGCCAUGCCAGCCAGUGAGGGAGAGUCCGCGUGAUGGUUUAACGUUACACACAGUGAGUUCAGAGCCUGCCUGCUCAACAGGAGACCUCUUGGUUCAGGAAGAUUUGAGCAUAAAUCAGAACAGCCCUGUACACCCAGCUGUCUCUAGGGAUGAAACAGAUGAGAGUGAAAGUGAUGUGAAAGAGAUGGAUACUUGUCACCCACCUUCAGAAGUGUAAUCUGAGCUUCCACUUACUUCUGAUACUGCUCUUACUGGACCUGAUGGCCGUUAUUGUGUCAUGACUCAGUCGAUGUGAAAAGAGGAAAUGAGAAACACAGGAAGAGUUACAAAUGUUCUCAUGAAGAAAUAUAAGUAGAUGAUGAGAAGAGACUCAGUAAGAGAAACACAACAUGACUGAGAAGAGUGAUAUAUGUCUGCUGGGACUGAUCCUUCUCUCUUCACUAUUCACAGGUAAACUAUACAACACAUUUAUUUCAUCACAUUUCAUUUCAUUACUCUCACUGACAUUCUGACAAACAUGUUCAGUUUCAUCUCAUGUCACAUUUAUCAUAGAGUUCAUGUGUCUUAUUCUCACAUUCAAAAGUCUGAUGUCAAGAGCGAUGAUAGAGGAACUAGAUCACAUGAUUUACUGUCAAAUCUUCUGAUUUAUAUGAUGUAAAAAUAAUCAAAAUCUAUCUGUCAUUAAAGCAAUAAGC
This is a long non-coding RNA of Triplophysa dalaica, 1124 nucleotides long. RefSeq lists it as uncharacterized. Lineage: Eukaryota; Metazoa; Chordata; Actinopteri; Cypriniformes; Nemacheilidae. The transcript has 4 exons. The record is from RefSeq and is a predicted model, not a curated record.